Non-coding RNA from Pelobates cultripes (western spadefoot toad), 276 nucleotides. The record is from the annotation of a GenBank genome assembly. Lineage: Eukaryota; Metazoa; Chordata; Amphibia; Anura; Pelobatidae.
CCCGAGUCUGCGCGAGCUGUCCAUGCCAGGCCCCGAUGCUGUAUGCGCUGCUCAGCUUCUUCUUCUGGGCUUCCACAGGCUCGUUUCAAUCUCGCCCUGGGUGCUUCCUCUUGAACUGUGUACCCUCUCCACCGUGUCGGCCUCCACAGUCUCUGUGGUCUGUUAUUCUGGCAGGCCUCUUCCUGACUGCCCUUGCCAGUGCAGGGGACCAGCGUGGUCCUCGAGCGGAGAUGUCCGCCUCGGCAUGUGCCGUCCCCAUGAGGCUGGGUUCACCCC